AAAAAUUUAGUUAAUUUAUAACACUAAUUUGUCAAAUUAGAAUAACUUAUAUAAAGUAAUUUUUA
Molecule: transfer RNA, 65 nt
Filed under: Scarabaeoidea sp. KM-2017
Lineage: Eukaryota; Metazoa; Arthropoda; Insecta; Coleoptera
Description: tRNA-Asp
Source: RNAcentral